GGACUCUUCGUUCUGGUUCUGCUAGCUGUACUUCUUGCCAUCUCCUUUUGGGUCAGUAGGAAGAGCACAAAGAGAGGUGGAAAAAGACAUCAAGAACAUUGCGUCUUCUUGGAGAAGGACAGGAACAUUUAUGGGUCACCUCCCCAGGAGGAGGACAGCGAAAUCCAUUACGCCUCCCUUUGUCACCAAAACUCGAGGGACGGACCCCAUGAGCACGAGGAACAGCGCGUCAUUUACUCCAUCGUGAGGGGAGUAACAGGCCAGGUCACUGGCUGAAGUCUGUCCUGCUGAGAUACAUCACUUCUGGUGUCUUAUUUCCAGUCCUGCUGACGCAUCAGCAGCUGUCAAAGCUCUUUCUAAAGAAUUCAAGCUAAACUGAAAGUGAUUUCCUACUGUGUGUAUUUUCCUUCUGUUCAUGUCAUUGGCAGCAGCUUGGAAAACAUGGAAAAAAAAUAUUUAUAGUAAUAUGAAUCAUUACUACGGAAAGGUAACAAAACAUUAUAGAGAUAAAAAUAAAUCACUCGCAAAACACUG
Long non-coding RNA from Scleropages formosus (Asian bonytongue), 534 nucleotides. RefSeq lists it as uncharacterized. The record is from RefSeq and is a predicted model, not a curated record. NCBI's taxonomy places the organism in Eukaryota, Metazoa, Chordata, Actinopteri, Osteoglossiformes, Osteoglossidae. The transcript is spliced from 3 exons.